GGAUGCGAUCAUACCAGCACUAAAGCACCGGAUAACAUCAGAACUCCGAAGUUAAGCGUGCUUGGGCGAGAGUAGUACUAGGAUGGGUGACCUGCUAGGAAGUCCUCGUGUUGCAUUCCC
This 120-nucleotide ribosomal RNA is filed under the name Triticum monococcum (einkorn wheat). Lineage: Eukaryota; Viridiplantae; Streptophyta; Magnoliopsida; Poales; Poaceae. The record is from RNAcentral.